This 1770-nucleotide ribosomal RNA is filed under the name Legionella pneumophila. RNAcentral's name for it is "partial 23S ribosomal RNA". It matches the Rfam family "Bacterial large subunit ribosomal RNA", at positions 1173 to 2925 of the family's 2925-position model. The record is from RNAcentral. Lineage: Bacteria; Pseudomonadati; Pseudomonadota; Gammaproteobacteria; Legionellales; Legionellaceae.
UAACGGGGCUAAAACUAGUCACCGAAGCUGCGGAUGUGCGCGAAGGCGCACGUGGUAGGGGAGCGUUCUGUAGGCUGAUGAAGGUGCAUUGAGAGGUGUGCUGGAGGUAUCAGAAGUGCGAAUGCUGACAUGAGUAACGAUAAUGUGGGUGAAAAGCCCACACGCCGGAAGUCCCAGGUUUCCUGCACGACGUUAAUCGGAGCAGGGUGAGUCGGCCCCUAAGGCGAGGCUGAAGAGCGUAGUCGAUGGGAACCAGGUUAAUAUUCCUGGACUUUUUAUAAGUGGUGAAGUGGGGACGAAGAAGGCUAGGUGAGCCAGGCGUUGGUUGUCCUGGUACUUGCAUGUAGGGGGGAAGACUUGGCAAAUCCGGUUUUCCGAUACUCUGAGGUGCGAAGUGGUUCUGACCUUUUGGUACAGAGAAGUCAUUGAUGCCCGGCUUCCAGGAAAAGCUGCUAGCCAUAACUUAUAGAGAACCGUACCGCAAACCGACACAGGUGGACAGGUAGAGAAUACUAAGGCGCUUGAGAGAACUCGGGUGAAGGAACUAGGCAAAAUGGUACCGUAACUUCGGGAGAAGGUACGCCCUUUCUGGUGAUGGGAUUUACUUUCAGAGCUGGAGAGGGCCGCAGAGACCAGGUGGCUGCGACUGUUUAUUAAAAACACAGCACUCUGCAAAUUCGUAAGAAGACGUAUAGGGUGUGACGCCUGCCCGGUGCCGGAAGGUUAAUUGAUGGGGUUAUCUUCGGAGAAGCUCUUGAUCGAAGCCCCGGUAAACGGCGGCCGUAACUAUAACGGUCCUAAGGUAGCGAAAUUCCUUGUCGGGUAAGUUCCGACCUGCACGAAUGGCGUAACGAUGGCCACACUGUCUCCACCCGAGACUCAGUGAAAUUGAAAUCGCUGUGAAGAUGCAGUGUACCCGCGGCUAGACGGAAAGACCCCGUGAACCUUUACUAUAGUUUUGCACUGGACUUUGAUGAUGACUGUGUAGGAUAGGUGGGAGGCUGUGAAGUGAGGACGCUAGUUCUCAUGGAGCCGCCCUUGAAAUACCACCCUGUUGUUAUUGAGGUUCUAACUUGGUCCAGUAAUCCUGGAUGAGGACAGUGUAUGAUGGGUAGUUUGACUGGGGCGGUCUCCUCCCAAAGAGUAACGGAGGAGCACAAAGGUACCCUCGGUACGGUCGGACAUCGUACCAAGAGUGUAAAGGCAAAAGGGUGCUUGACUGCGAGAGUGACGGCUCGAGCAGGAACGAAAGUUGGUCUUAGUGAUCCGGUGGUUCUGAAUGGAAGGGCCAUCGCUCAACGGAUAAAAGGUACUCCGGGGAUAACAGGCUGAUACCGCCCAAGAGUUCAUAUCGACGGCGGUGUUUGGCACCUCGAUGUCGGCUCAUCACAUCCUGGGGCUGAAGCAGGUCCCAAGGGUAUGGCUGUUCGCCAUUUAAAGUGGUACGCGAGCUGGGUUUAGAACGUCGUGAGACAGUUCGGUCCCUAUCUGCCGUGGGCGUAGGAAAAUUGAGAGGAGCUGCUCCUAGUACGAGAGGACCGGAGUGGACGAACCUCUGGUGCACCGGUUGUCACGCCAGUGGCAUGGCCGGGUAGCUAAGUUCGGACGGGAUAACCGCUGAAAGCAUCUAAGCGGGAAGCCUCCCUCAAGAUGAGUUUUCCCAUGAAGCCCGUUGAAGACUACGACGUUGAUAGGCAAGGUGUGGAAGCGCAGUAAUGUGUGAAGCUAACUUGUACUAAUUGGCUGAUUGUCUUGACCAUAUAAUCUGAG